Molecule: ribosomal RNA, 910 nt
Filed under: uncultured bacterium
Lineage: Bacteria
Description: bacterial SSU rRNA
Rfam family: Bacterial small subunit ribosomal RNA
Source: RNAcentral
ACGCUGGCGGCGUGCCUAAUACAUGCAAGUAGAACGCUGAAGAGAGGAGCUUGCUCUUCUUGAAUGAGUUGCGAACGGGUGAGUAACGCGUAGGUAACCUGCCUUGUAGCGGGGGAUAACUAUUGGAAACGAUAGCUAAUACCGCAUAACGAUGGGUGACACAUGUCAUUUAUUUGAAAGGGGCAAUUGCUCCACUACAAGAUGGACCUGCGUUGUAUUAGCUAGUAGGUGAGGUAACGGCUCACCUAGGCGACGAUACAUAGCCGACCUGAGAGGGUGAUCGGCCACACUGGGACUGAGACACGGCCCAGACUCCUACGGGAGGCAGCAGUAGGGAAUCUUCGGCAAUGGGGGCAACCCUGACCGAGCAACGCCGCGUGAGUGAAGAAGGUUUUCGGAUCGUAAAGCUCUGUUGUAAGUCAAGAACGAGUGUGAGAGUGGAAAGUUCACACUGUGACGGUAGCUUACCAGAAAGGGACGGCUAACUACGUGCCAGCAGCCGCGGUAAUACGUAGGUCCCGAGCGUUAUCCGGAUUUAUUGGGCGUAAAGCGAGCGCAGGCGGUUUGAUAAGUCUGAAGUUAAAGGCUGUGGCUCAACCAUAGUUCGCUUUGGAAACUGUCAAACUUGAGUGCAGAAGGGGAGAGUGGAAUUCCAUGUGUAGCGGUGAAAUGCGUAGAUAUAUGGAGGAACACCGGUGGCGAAAGCGGCUCUCUGGUCUGUAUCUGACGCUGAGGCUCGAAAGCGUGGGGAGCGAACAGGAUUAGAUACCCUGGUAGUCCACGCCGUAAACGAUGAGUGCUAGGUGUUGGAUCCUUUCCGGGAUUCAGUGCCGCAGCUAACGCAUUAAGCACUCCGCCUGGGGAGUACGACCGCAAGGUUGAAACUCAAAGGAAUUGACGGGGGCCCGCA